GAUGAAGAACGUAGCGAAAUGCGAUAAGUAGUGUGAAUUGCAGAAUUCAGUGAAUCAUCGAAUCUUUGAACGCACAUUGCGCCCCCUGGUAUUCCGGGGGGCAUGCCUGUCCGAGCGUCAUUGCUGCCCUCAAGCACGGCUUGUGUGUUGGGCCCCCGUCCCCGGUUUCCCCCGGGGACGGGCCCGAAAGGCAGCGGCGGCACCGCGUCCGGUCCUCGAGCGUAUGGGGCUUUGUCACCCGCUCUGUAGGCCCGGCCGGCGCCAGCCGACACCCAACUUUAUUUCUAAGGUUGACCUCGGAUCAGGUAGGGAUACCCGCUGAACUUAAGCAUAUCAAUAAGCGGAGGA
RNAcentral lists this unclassified non-coding RNA (348 nucleotides) under soil metagenome. RNAcentral describes it as "partial contains 5.8S ribosomal RNA, internal transcribed spacer 2, and large subunit ribosomal RNA". The stretch from base 1 to 120 matches the Rfam family "5.8S ribosomal RNA", at positions 35 to 154 of the family's 154-position model. The record is from RNAcentral.